This 609-nucleotide ribosomal RNA is filed under the name uncultured fungus. Its description in RNAcentral is "eukaryotic LSU rRNA". The stretch from base 257 to 410 matches the Rfam family "5.8S ribosomal RNA". Lineage: Eukaryota; Fungi. The record is from RNAcentral.
GUCGUACAGGUUUCCGUAGGUGAACCUGCGGAAGGAUCAUUAACCUUUCAAAUCAGGGUGCGGCGCGGCCCCCGAGGAGCGGAAACAAUCCUUGGGAGGUAUGCGGGGGCUUCGAGCCCCCCAUUUACGCACGCACGACUGCCAUCCUUACUUUACGAGCACCUUCUGUUCUCCCUCGGCGGGGCAACCUGCCGUUGGAACCGAAUAAACUCUUUUUGCAUCUAGCAUUACCUGUUCCGAAACAAACAAUCGUUACAACUUUCAACAAUGGAUCUCUUGGCUCUGGCAUCGAUGAAGAACGCAGCGAAAUGCGAUAAGUAGUGUGAAUUGCAGAAUUCAGUGAAUCAUCGAAUCUUUGAACGCACAUUGCGCCCCUCGGUAUUCCGUGGGGCAUGCCUGUUCGAGCGUCAUCUACACCCUCAAGCUCUGCUUGGUGUUGGGCGUCUGUCCCGCCUCCGCGCGUGGACUCGCCCCAAAUUCAUUGGCAGCGGUCCUUGCCUCCUCUCGCGCAGCACAUUGCGCUUCUCGAGGGGCUACGGCUCGCGUCCAACAAGCACAUUUACCGUCUUUGACCUCGGAUCAGGUAGGGAUACCCGCUGAACUUAAGCA